UUAGGUUUUAUGAGAUAGCUAACACGUAAGAAACGGUCUUCUUUGUGGGGCACUUCUUAAAUGAAAAUCCAUCUGUUACCCUUGGCUUUUCAACUAA
Arabis alpina (gray rockcress) is the source of this 97-nucleotide non-coding RNA. Lineage: Eukaryota; Viridiplantae; Streptophyta; Magnoliopsida; Brassicales; Brassicaceae. The record is from Rfam.